UUUCCGUUGGUGAACCAGCGGAAGGAUCAUUACAGAGAUCAUGCCCUCACGGGUAGACCUCCCACCCUGUGUUACUUACGUUUGUUGCUUUGGCAGGUCGCCUUCGGGCACUCGGCUCUCGCUGAGGUGCGCCUGCCAGAGGACCCCCAACUCUGUGUUUAGUGUUGUCCGAGUAAUAUAUUUAAUACGUUAAAACUUUCAACAACGGAUCUCUUGGUUCUGGCAUCGAUGAAGAACGCAGC
This 242-nucleotide unclassified non-coding RNA is filed under the name uncultured fungus. RNAcentral's name for it is "sequence contains ITS1, 5.8S rRNA gene". The stretch from base 194 to 242 matches the Rfam family "5.8S ribosomal RNA", at positions 1 to 49 of the family's 154-position model. The record is from RNAcentral. Lineage: Eukaryota; Fungi.